RNAcentral lists this ribosomal RNA (675 nucleotides) under uncultured bacterium. RNAcentral describes it as "bacterial SSU rRNA". It matches the Rfam family "Bacterial small subunit ribosomal RNA", at positions 135 to 809 of the family's 1533-position model. The record is from RNAcentral.
ACUCUGGAAUAGCCUUUCGAAAGAAAGAUUAAUACCGGAUAGCAUACGAAUAUCGCAUGAUAUUUUUAUUAAAGAAUUUCGGUUAUCGAUGGGGAUGCGUUCCAUUAGUUUGUUGGCGGGGUAACGGCCCACCAAGACUACGAUGGAUAGGGGUUCUGAGAGGAAGGUCCCCCACAUUGGAACUGAGACACGGUCCAAACUCCUACGGGAGGCAGCAGUGAGGAAUAUUGGUCAAUGGGCGCGAGCCUGAACCAGCCAAGUAGCGUGAAGGAUGAAGGCUCUAUGGGUCGUAAACUUCUUUUAUAUGGGAAUAAAGUUUUCCACGUGUGGAAUUUUGUAUGUACCAUAUGAAUAAGGAUCGGCUAACUCCGUGCCAGCAGCCGCGGUAAUACGGAGGAUCCGAGCGUUAUCCGGAUUUAUUGGGUUUAAAGGGAGCGUAGGUGGAUUGUUAAGUCAGUUGUGAAAGUUUGCGGCUCAACCGUAAAAUUGCAGUUGAAACUGGCAGUCUUGAGUACAGUAGAGGUGGGCGGAAUUCGUGGUGUAGCGGUGAAAUGCUUAGAUAUCACGAAGAACUCCGAUUGCGAAGGCAGCUCACUAGACUGUUACUGACACUGAUGCUCGAAAGUGUGGGUAUCAAACAGGAUUAGAUACCCUGGUAGUCCACACAGUAAACGA